Molecule: unclassified non-coding RNA, 335 nt
Organism: Panthera pardus (leopard)
Lineage: Eukaryota; Metazoa; Chordata; Mammalia; Carnivora; Felidae
Gene: 7SK
Rfam family: 7SK RNA
About the family: 7SK was discovered as an abundant small nuclear RNA in the mid-70s but a possible function has only recently been suggested. Two independent studies have found that 7SK RNA binds the CDK9/cyclin T complex (known as elongation factor P-TEFb).
Source: Ensembl
AGAUGUGAGGGCGAUCUGGCCGUGACAUCUGUCCCCCGAUUGAUCGCCAGGGUUGAUUCGGCUGAUCUGGCUGGCUAGGCGGGUGUCCCCUUCCUCCCUCACUGCUCCAAGUGCAUCCCUCCUGAAGCUGUGAGCUCGCUCGGUCGAAGAGGACGACCUUCCCCGAUAGAGGAGGACCGUUCUUCUGUCAAGGGUAUACGAGUAGCUGCGUUCCCCUGCUAGAACCUCCAAACAAGCUCUCGAGGUCCAUUUGUAGGAGAACGUAGGGUACUCAAGCUUCCAAGACUCCAGACACAUCCAAAUGAGGCGUUGCACGUGGCAGUCUGUCUUUCUUA